This 378-nucleotide ribosomal RNA is filed under the name uncultured bacterium. Its description in RNAcentral is "bacterial SSU rRNA". It matches the Rfam family "Bacterial small subunit ribosomal RNA", at positions 524 to 898 of the family's 1533-position model. The record is from RNAcentral.
GACGUAGGGGGCGAGCGUUGUCCGGAUUUAUUGGGCGUAAAGCGCGCGCAGGCGGUUCGGAAAGUCGGAUGUGAAAAUCCGGGGCUCAACCCCGGACCUGCACCCGAUACUCCCGGACUGGAGGCAGGUAGGGGAGAGCGGAAUUCCCGGUGUAGCGGUGAAAUGCGCAGAUAUCGGGAAGAACACCGGUGGCGAAGGCGGCUCUCUGGGCCUGUCCUGACGCUCAGGCGCGAAAGCUAGGGGAGCGAACAGGAUUAGAUACCCUGGUAGUCCUAGCCGUAAACGAUGGGUGCUAGGUGUGGGGCGGCGAUCGACCCGUUCCGUGCCGUAGCCAACGCAUUAAGCACCCCGCCUGGGGAGUACGGCCGCAAGGCUAAA